RNAcentral lists this ribosomal RNA (240 nucleotides) under uncultured bacterium. RNAcentral's name for it is "partial 16S ribosomal RNA". It matches the Rfam family "Bacterial small subunit ribosomal RNA", at positions 524 to 761 of the family's 1533-position model. The record is from RNAcentral.
CACGUAGGCACCAAGCGUUGUCCGGAUUUAUUGGGCGUAAAGAGCUCGUAGGCGGUUCAGUAAGUCAGGUGUGAAAUCUUUGGGCUUAACCCAAAGCGUGCACUUUGAUACUGCUGUGACUUGAGUUCGGUAGGGGAGUGGGGAAUUCCUAGUGUAGCGGUGAAAUGCGCAGAUAUUAGGAGGAACACCGGUGGCGAAGGCGCCACUCUGGGCCGAAACUGACGCUGAGGAGCGAAAGCG